RNAcentral lists this ribosomal RNA (253 nucleotides) under uncultured prokaryote. Its description in RNAcentral is "partial 16S ribosomal RNA". It matches the Rfam family "Bacterial small subunit ribosomal RNA", at positions 525 to 777 of the family's 1533-position model. The record is from RNAcentral.
ACGUAGGGACCAAGCGUUGUUCGGAUUUACUGGGCGUAAAGGGUGCGUAGGCGGUUGUUUAAGUCUGUCGUGAAAUCCCCGGGCUCAACCUGGGAAUGGCGAUGGAUACUGGGCAGCUAGAGUGUGUCAGAGGAUGGUGGAAUUCCCGGUGUAGCGGUGAAAUGCGUAGAGAUCGGGAGGAACAUCAGUGGCGAAGGCGGCCAUCUGGGACAACACUGACGCUGAAGCACGAAAGCGUGGGGAGCAAACAGGA